UACGGGGGGAGCAAGCGUUGUUCGGAUUUACUGGGCGUAAAGGGCGCGUAGGCGGCGUGGUAAGUCACUUGUGAAAUCUCCGGGCUUAACUCGGAACGGUCAAGUGAUACUGCUGUGCUAGAGUGCGGAAGGGGCAACUGGAAUUCUCGGUGUAGCGGUGAAAUGCGUAGAUAUCGAGAGGAACACCUGCGGCGAAGGCGGGUUGCUGGGCCGACACUGACGCUGAAGCGCGAAAGCUAGGGGAGCGAACGGG
RNAcentral lists this ribosomal RNA (253 nucleotides) under uncultured bacterium. RNAcentral's name for it is "partial 16S ribosomal RNA". It matches the Rfam family "Bacterial small subunit ribosomal RNA", at positions 524 to 776 of the family's 1533-position model. RNAcentral also lists the same sequence under 1 other name. The record is from RNAcentral.